CACGUGGGAUGUUAACCAGGGCCACCUAGCAGCAAAUGCCCAGGCUGCUUCCAGGACUGAUAUUAUGAAGCUUACAGCAGAGCGACUUGCCAUCAGGAAGGCUCCUGUCUGCCAAGACGCCAGCACGCCCUGCCACCAGCAAUAAUUGCCAACAAGAAUAGCAGACCGUGUAAGAUAAGAAAGAUUGUAAGCUGUUCAGCCAACUAGAAUCGUCUGUGCUAAUGACUGGCAGGCAUCACAGGUUCCUUAUUUCAUGGGACAACCAUCAGAAGCACCAUCUCAGAUGUGCUUGCCAUGAGGAUCAAAUGAGAUGCCAUGAGAAGAUGACACAAGACGUCCAAGCUCUGGGAAGCUGCUGUGAAAUCCAUACAGGGACAGGGAAGCUGUCAGAGGGAAUUUGGGGGCUAAUACUAGCCAGAAGCCAUACAGUGUAAAAGGAUGCUCUGACAGGCAGCUGACAGUGAGCAGCUCUGCACGGGGACGUUAGUUAAGAGGGCUUGUGGACUUAUAUUUUGUUUCAUCUGUGGAGGGAGGGGUAUGUAUGUGUGAGAGCAAGCAUGUGUGUGCUGCAGGAUGCUAAGGGCAGAGGACAGCCUCGGGUGUCAACAGUCUCCUUUCACUGUCUCUGAGACAGGGUCUCUGCUGUUUGCCUGUUUGCACAGGCACCAGGGUAACUGGGAGCUACGGGGAAUUCUCUCAUCUGCACUUCCCACCCAUCCCUCCACAGAAGCACCGAGAGUGCAGAGGUGUGUACUAUCUCAUGAGGUUCACAACGGGUU
Molecule: long non-coding RNA, 779 nt
Filed under: Mus musculus (house mouse)
Lineage: Eukaryota; Metazoa; Chordata; Mammalia; Rodentia; Muridae
Description: predicted gene 29348
Source: RNAcentral